This 378-nucleotide unclassified non-coding RNA is filed under the name Hevea brasiliensis (rubber tree). The record is from RNAcentral. Lineage: Eukaryota; Viridiplantae; Streptophyta; Magnoliopsida; Malpighiales; Euphorbiaceae.
GUUUAAAUGCAGAAGGCUCUCUCUGUUAUGCAAGGAAUAAAGAGUAAGACUCUCUAUGUUUCACAAGGAAUAAUGAUUAAAUAGUUCCUCAUCAAAUAAUGUUCAAGCAACCCUGCAAAACCAUGUAGUUUAAACAAAGAUGCAGAAAAAACACUUAAUUGGUUAUAACUAUAACUAGAUGAAGCCCUACAGAGCCAUUUUACCAUGCAAGUUGUAGAGAUUUAUAUAACUCAAAGAACCUGAACUUCCAAGAAGAGAAUGCACAUUGACACAUUCUUAGUUCAAUUGAUAUGACUUGCACUGAACUUGCUCCUUAAUACAGUUCUUGAGAUAAAAUAUUAAAAAGAACGUAACUGGAUUAUGCAUGGUGGCAAGUGA